GCAGGCGCGAAACCUUUACACUGCACGACAGUGCGAUAGGGGGAUCCCAAGUGCACAGGCAUAGCGCCUGUGCUUUUCGGUACCCUAAGGCGGUACCAGAAUAAGGGCUGGGCAAGACCGGUGCCAGCCGCCGSGGUAAUACCGGCAGCCCAAGUGAUGGCCGAUCUUAUUGGGCCUAAAGCGUCCGUAGCUGGCCGUACAAGUCCAUCGGGAAAUCCACCUGCUCAACAGGUGGGCGCCCGGUAGAAACUGUGCGGCUUGGGACCGGAAGGCGCGACGGGUACGUCCGGGGUAGGAGUGAAAUCCCGUAAUCCUGGACGGACCGCCGAUGGCGAAAGCACGUCGCGAGAACGGAUCCGACAGUGAGGGACGAAAGCCAGGGUCUCGAACCGGAUUARAUACCCGGGUAGUCCUGGCCGUAAACAAUGUCUGCUAGGUGUGGCUCCCACUACGAGUGGGUGCUGUGCCGUAGGGAAGCCGYUAAGCAGACCGCCUGGGAAGUACGUCCGCAAGGAUGAAACUUAAAGGAAUUGGCGGGGGAGCACUACAACCGGAGGAGCCUGCGGWUUAAUUGGAGUCAACGCCGG
Molecule: ribosomal RNA, 587 nt
Filed under: uncultured haloarchaeon
Lineage: Archaea; Methanobacteriati; Methanobacteriota; Halobacteria; Halobacteriales; Halobacteriaceae
Description: bacterial SSU rRNA
Rfam family: Archaeal small subunit ribosomal RNA
Source: RNAcentral